This 479-nucleotide ribosomal RNA is filed under the name uncultured soil bacterium. Its description in RNAcentral is "bacterial SSU rRNA". It matches the Rfam family "Bacterial small subunit ribosomal RNA", at positions 50 to 526 of the family's 1533-position model. The record is from RNAcentral.
AACACAUGCAAGUCGAACGGUAACAGGUCUUCGGAUGCUGACGAGUGGCGGACGGGUGAGUAAUGCGUAGGAAUCUGUCUUUUAGUGGGGGACAACCCAGGGAAACUUGGGCUAAUACCGCAUGAGCCCUGAGGGGGAAAGCGGGGGAUCUUCGGACCUCGCGCUAAGAGAGGAGCCUACGUCCGAUUAGCUAGUUGGCGGGGUAAAGGCCCACCAAGGCGACGAUCGGUAGCUGGUCUGAGAGGACGACCAGCCACACUGGGACUGAGACACGGCCCAGACUCCUACGGGAGGCAGCAGUGGGGAAUUUUUCGCAAUGAGGGCAACCCUGACCAAGCAAUGCCGCGUGGAUGAAGAAGGCCUUCGGGUUGUAAAGUCCUUUCGUGGAGGACGAAAAGGUGGGUUCUAAUACAAUCUGCUAUUGACGUGAAUCCAAGAAGAAGCACCGGCUAACUCCGUGCCAGCAGCCGCGGUAAUAC